UAUAGCACAGGGAACUAUAUCCAGUCUCUUGAAAUACACCAUGAUAGGAGAUAACAUAAGAAAAGGGUGUGUGUGUGUGUGUAUACACAUAUAUGACUAGGUCACUUUGCUGUACAGCAGAAAUUGGCACAACACUGUAAAUCAACUAUACUUUAAUAAAAGUAAAUUUAAAAAACUAACUAAGUAAAUUAGCCAUCAAGCCAUGAAAACACAUGGAGAAAACUUAUAUGCAUAUUAUGAGUGAAAAGCCUCCAUACUGUAUGAUCGGCCAUAUGGCAUUCUGGAAAAGGCAAAACUAUGGAGACAGUAAAAGAUCUGAGGUUGCCAGUGGAUGAGAGGGUAAGGAAGGAUGAUAAGCAGAGCAUAGAGGGCUGUGAAUCUACCCUGCAAGGUAUGAGAAUGGUGGGUACAAACGUCAAGAUGCAUUUGUCCAGACCCAUAGAAUGUACAACAAAAAAUGAACACUAAGAUGAACUACAGAAUUUGUGUGAGAAUGAUGUGUCAAAGUAGAUUUAUCAAUUGUAACAAAUGUACCCCUCUGAUAGGAACGUUGAUAAUGGAGAGGCCUGUGUGAAGGGGGGCAGGGAAUACAUGGGAACUCUCUGGACCACCCACUCAAUUUCGCUGUAAACUUAAAAGUGCUCUAAAAAUAAAGCUCAUUAAAAUAAUUUCUCCCUUUCUACCAAUAAAAAAGUUUCUUUUCUAAAUAUAAAAUAAUAUGUAAGCAGAGUAAAAUCCUAACAAUAUAAGAAAUUUCAAAAAAUAAAAUAAUGAAAGUCUUCAAUAAUUUUUAUACACACUACAAAAACCUAAUCUCAUUUACGUGAUUUAAUUCUUAUUACUGAACUUUUUCAUAUUCUGUUUUUGCAGUCUCCCUGUAUAAAACAUAAAAACCCAAUCAUACCAAAAUUCCCUUUGGACGGGGGCCCAGAUUUGCUAUUGCCAGGCCCACUUCACACUCAUAAACAGAGAAGCUUUUCUGUAUACUCCAAGAAGAAUGUCUUUCAGAAAAGUCUCUGCAUAUUCCUUUAGUAACUCUAGAAGAGACUGCUGAUUUUUCUCCAAUGUAUCUUUUACCUCCUUAUUCCUCACUAACAGAAUCCUAGGAUACAGGACUGCCAGAAUAAAGGCUAUAUUUCCCAACCUCCUUGUGGUUGAAUUUGGCUAUUUGACUAAGUUUUGACCAAGGGGAGAUAAGAGGAUGUGUAAUCUUCAACUACUGAAAUGUGUUCAUAGACAUAAGGUCUUGUUCUCUCUUUUUCUUUUCUCCCUGCUGUGCUGGACUGUUGAGAGACUACAGCAAAUGGCAUUGACUUGACGAUGGUCAAACAACUCAAUAAAGACAUGAUGCUUGAGAGUUACCUGAGCAUUAUGGUUGAAUAAGACCUCCUUCACUUGCACCCCUACUCAACAACAACAGCUUGGCAUCCAUCCAUGGACAAAAGUGCUUUUGUGGGAGAAUUGGAAGACAGCACCAUAUAUAGAGGGAUCCAGGUGUCUUCCCACUCGAGCUUUGGGUAAUAGGUAUACAGACCUCCAUUCUGGCUGUGGACCCUGCAGUGACCCUGCAACCUGCUCCCAUUCCACUUGGCUGUGGUCUGGAGGCUUCCAGCAAAUGCUAUCUUAGAAGUUCACCUAGAUGAAAAUGCCUUUGUGAGAAUGCAGAUUUCCAGUGAAGAACUUCCAGCACAUAACUGGAGCAAAAAAUAUACGAUCCUGGACUUAUUGUAUAGCACAGAGAGUUCUACUCAAUGUUCUGUAAUAAGCUUAUAGGAAAAAAAGAAUGGACAUAAGUAUGUGUAUAACUGAUUCACUUUGUUCUACACCUGAAACUAAUACAAUAUCAUAAAUCAACUAUACUACAAUAAAAUUAUUUUUUUAAAAAAUAUACAAGCAUAGAUGCAUUGAAGAUGGGCAGAAGAACAAUUUAAUUUUACUUACACACCCCUCCUGCAAGGCAGCACAGCUCAGGGCUGAGAGAAAUCUUCUUGGCCCAUGAUUUCCCCCAUGAGGGAAAGUGAGACUAUAAAUGAGUGCCCAAUUUUUCAGCUGUGCAGGAUGCUGCCAAAGAGGUUCAUUUCUUUCACAACUUACCUGGAGUACUGAAUAGGGAGCUUCAUGACUGAAGGGUGGGGAUGGGGAGAAGCUCAGGCAGGGAGAGGAGUAUAGAGAAUCCCCUAAAGCAUUUCAAGGAUGCAGAUCCUACUAACUACAUCUCCAUCAAGAAGCCUGCCCAUGAGCCACUGAGAUGUCAAAGCCUUGGCUUUUCCUAAUCACCAUUGGGUUAGAGCAGUUAGUUCACCAAGAACUAAAACUAACAAACCCAGAUCAAGGCUUUGAAAAUCAAAUACAUGUAUUAAAUAGGUUGUUGUUGGUUUUUUUUCCCUGAGGUAUGAUGUCCAGAUUUGACUGUUACUCAAGAAGAAUCAAGUUCAUGUGAAUCAAGGUAAGACCAAAUAGAAAACUGUAUUAGUAUUCCGGGUUAAAAUAUUAAAAUACCCAUCACAAAAGUUUCACAAAGGAUAAUACAAUUGGAGUAAAACACAUAUUCCCAUGAGUUUUAUAAAGGAUAUUCUGUCUAUUUUCAGCUUGAAACAUUGUGCCAGUUGUUAAACUCUUAAAAACCAGAGAAAUUACAUUUCACUUUUGUAGGUCCCAUGGCAGGGUUUUGAAAAUCAACAACAAUCCAUUGUAUUAUGAGUUGGUGGGAGCCUAUAUUACAAACUGGUAAUUGAGUAAUUUUUGUAAGUCGGCCAAAAACUGUGAAAAUUGAUUUCUUCUCAACCCAAAGAUACAGUUGCUCCAAUCAUCUAGAUGCUUUCCACUGACCUUCUGAGAUGAAACGUUCUUAAAUAUAACCCUGAAAAGAACUGAUGGCACACCUGUUAAUUUUUGUUAUGUAAUUAACUUCCCACCAAAUUUGGUAGCUUAAAAUCAUCAUUUGUUUUACAUCAUAAUUCCAUGUGUCAUUAAUUUAGACUGGGCUCAUUUGGAGAGCUCUUUUGGUGGUCUUAGCAGCUCUCAAGCAACUGAGGUCAGUGAUGGGUCAGCAGACGUUAGAGAGGUUAGGGAUGUUGCUCAGCGGAGACAAACAGCUGCUCCUUGAAUCGCUGACCAUCCAGGAGGCAAACCUGGGCUUUCCCACGUGAAAUCUCAGGAUGCUAAAAAGAAGUGAAACAGCACAUAUGCCCCAGUGCACCAUAACUUUUUAAGUCUCUAGCUGUGUCUCAUUUGCUACAUCCCAUUGACAAACCAAGUCACAGGACCAAAUACAGAUUCAAGAAUGGAGAGAUAAAUCUCAACUACUAAGAAAAGCAGUUGAAAAAUUGUGCCACUAUAUCUUUGUUUUCUUGGGAGGUUGUCUACAACGUAGAAAGUAGAAUUUCCUAUGAUGGCGCAGCAGAAAUGAAUCCGACUAGGAACCAUGAGGUUGGGGGUUUGACCCCUGGCCUCGCUUAGUGGGUUAAGGAUCCAGCGUUGCCGUGAGCUGUGGUGUAGGUUGUAGAUGCUGCUCGGAUCCCGUGUUGCUGUGGCUGUGGCGUAGGCUGGCAGAUACACCUCUGAUUAGACCCCGAGCCUGGGAACCUCCAUCUGCCGCGGGUGCGGCCCUAAAAAGACAAAA
RNAcentral lists this long non-coding RNA (3622 nucleotides) under Sus scrofa (pig). Its description in RNAcentral is "lncRNA (ENSSSCG00000056963.1)". Lineage: Eukaryota; Metazoa; Chordata; Mammalia; Artiodactyla; Suidae. The record is from RNAcentral.